Long non-coding RNA from Polypterus senegalus (gray bichir), 2236 nucleotides. RefSeq lists it as uncharacterized. NCBI's taxonomy places the organism in Eukaryota, Metazoa, Chordata, Cladistia, Polypteriformes, Polypteridae. The record is from RefSeq and is a predicted model, not a curated record. The transcript has 4 exons.
AGUGAGUGCAGCAGCAGUAAGCCUGGUGUGUUUAUUACCAAACAAUCCUUCGCCAUCCUGCUUAGCUAGCCCUUGUGAAGGCAUUCCCUGACUUAGAUAAAGUCUUAAAGACGCAGAGGUGCAUCUCCUGCCUUUGGAGGAUCAGACACAGAAGUCUUGAAGCUGGACAGAUGGCUUUGCAUUCCACCACCUCACAGAUGAAUGGCAGAAGUGAAGAGUAUAGGAGUAUGACUCAUCUGGAAGGGUCUUGGUAGCCCACUAACCUACUUGAGGUCCACAUUACUUGUUUUAGAACAAUCGUAGAGAUGGACAAUGAGAAAGUGACUUUUGUGAUAUGGUGCAUAUGGAAUGAAAUGCUCUCGAUAUAAAAUCUGAAAAUGGAAAGGAAAGCAAUUACCAACUAUCUAGAACUGGCAAGAUAUAAAUGGAUUUUUAUGGAGACCAAUCUACGGUGAGUUGACUUCCUGCCUUGCGCCCUGUGUUGGCUGGGAUUGGCUCCAGCAGACCCCCAUGACCCUGUAGUUAGGAUAUAGCGGGUUGGAUAAUGGAUGGAUGGAUGGAGACCAAUUCAAGGUGAGGUUCUUGCAUGUAUGCCAACAUUUAAUUCAUUUAUUUUUGCUCAUUAAAAUACUCAAAAGAUAUGGGGUAUGUAACAUAUUCAGCUGUUUAAAACACACAUGGAAAUUAUCUAAAUGCUUCAAUGUAAAUAAAAUUGUACAUAUUUAUGACUGGAUGCCACAAGGCUGGUAUUGCUGUGUAGUUAGUGGUUUGGGUUGCUGUCUCACAGCUACAUAGUCAAUGGUCUAAAUCACAGGCCUGACCUCUGUUUGAGUGGCUUUUGCUCCUGGGGUUUCCUCAGGUAAUCUGGAUCUCCUCCCACUUCCCCGCAUGUCAUAUUAGGCUGAUUCAUAACUGUAAAUUGACACUGUGUGUGUGGGUGUGUGCAGAAAUGUGUUGUGCAAUGCCGGCUCCUUAUACCUAUUGCUGCUGGGAUAAACACUAGGUCUGUACUACCCAGGAGUGGAUAAGUAGGUUAGAAAAUGGACAGAUGAUGGGAUGGUGUUAUAGUGGUGCACCACGUCCCGCUUCUACCUCACAGUCAUAGGGCACUUUGUUCAGAUCCCGGCCCAGACACUGUGUGGAAUUUGCAUGUUAAGGGCAGAGUUUGCAGAAAUGUUAGAAAUUUUUUUUAUUCACACAAAGAGCCAAAUGGAAUAAAUGACCAAGCAGUAUGGUGGACAGUAGGCCUUUAGGGACCUUCCAGUCUCAAUAUGAUGUUCUGUUUGACAAUCUAGGAGGACAGGAUGAACACGACUGAACACUUUGUUCAGACACCAGCUCAGACACUGUGUGGAAUUUGCAUGUUUUUUUCUCUUUUCUCCACCGACUGCCCAUUUAUGUCCCAAAAAUUAUACGUUAGCUUAUUGAGUCACCCAAAAUUAGAGUGGUCUUCAUGGAGUAGACUCACUAACUUUUUCAGACUUAGGUGAUGUUAAAAGUGGUGUCCCUCAGGGAGCAGUGAUGGGCUGUUGCUGUUUUUAAUAAACACAAAUGAUCUGGACACGAAAAUAAUCAAAAAGCUGGUUAAGUCUGAAGAGGAAAUCAAAUUUGGUGGAAGGGUGGAUAACACAGAAUUAUCCAGAUUGCUGCAGAGGGGCUUGCAAAGCAUACUGGCUAGGGCAGACUGUGGCAGAUUACAUUUAAUGUAAGGUAUUACAUUUACAGUAGUAAAAAUGUUAGAUUUGAAUACAAAAUGAAACUUCUGUAACUUGAAAGUACACCUUAUGAGAAGGACCAGGAAGUCAUCAAAACACUGGACAGAAGCAAUGAGGAAGGCUAAUAAAAUGUGUAGAAUACAAGUCAAGGGAGGUUAUACCUAAGCUAUAUAACACACUAGUGAAAACUCUUAUGAAGAACUGUGUACAGAUUUGAUCUCCAUAUUAUAAAAAAGACAUAACAGCACUAAAGAGAGUCCAGAGAAGAUUGACUAGGCUGACUGAGACCUGGUCUAGGUUCUGGAGCUAUGAGGACAGAGUGAAGGAGUUGAAUCUUUUCAGUUUAAGCAAAUAUAGAUUAAUAGGCGAUAUGAUUGAAGUGUUUAAAAUUAUGAAAGGAAUUAGUACAGUAGAUCCCAGUUUCUGCUUUAAAAUACCAUAUUUCCAACCAUACCCUUUGUUCUUGUUGCAAUUUUUAAGAUAGAUAGAUAGAUAGAUAAAGAACAAUAUUAAAUUAAAGA